This 72-nucleotide transfer RNA is filed under the name Yasminevirus sp. GU-2018. It matches the Rfam family "tRNA". Rfam says of the family: Transfer RNA (tRNA) molecules are approximately 80 nucleotides in length. Lineage: Varidnaviria; Bamfordvirae; Nucleocytoviricota; Megaviricetes; Imitervirales; Mimiviridae. The record is from Rfam by way of RNAcentral.
UCUCCUGUAGUUCAGUGGUUAGAAUACGACAUUGUCAGUGUCGGGACGCGAGUUCGAUUCUUGCCAGGAGAG